GAGUUUGAUUCUGGCUCAGGACAAACGCUGGCGGCGUGCAUAACACAUGCAAGUCGAACGAAAUCUACAUGAUUUAGUGGCGAACGGGUGAGUAACACGUGAGAAACCUGCCUUACACAGAGGGAUAGCCGUUGGAAACGACGAUUAAUACCUCAUGACACCGUGACAUCGCAUGAUGAUGCGGUCAAAGAUUUAUCGGUGUAAGAUGGUCUCGCGCCUGAUUAGCUGGUUGGUGGGGUAACGGCCUACCAAGGCGACGAUCAGUAGCCGAUCUGAGAGGGUGGACGGCCACAUUGGGACUGAGACACGGCCCAAACUCCUACGGGAGGCAGCAGUGGGGAAUUUUGCACAAUGGGGGAAACCCUGAUGCAGCGACGCCGCGUGAACGAAGAAGGCCUUCGGGUUGUAAAGUUCUGUCCUUGGUGAAGAUAAUGACCGUACCAGAGAGCC
RNAcentral lists this ribosomal RNA (450 nucleotides) under Helcococcus sp. canine oral taxon 069. RNAcentral's name for it is "bacterial SSU rRNA". It matches the Rfam family "Bacterial small subunit ribosomal RNA", at positions 9 to 467 of the family's 1533-position model. The record is from RNAcentral. Lineage: Bacteria; Bacillati; Bacillota; Tissierellia; Tissierellales; Peptoniphilaceae.